AUGGUUUGGUGAGGGACGUAACAGUAUCUAUUCUUAUCAGUUUAAUAUCUGAUAUGUGGGCCAUUGGCUCACAAGAUAUUAAAUUAAUUUUUUAAGGGGCAGAGCCCAUUCCAGUAGCUUGCUAUUGGGGCUCUCAGGCAUGGCCCUGGUGUUGCACUGCUGCUUGGGCCUGGUGCACCCUAC
This 183-nucleotide small nuclear RNA is filed under the name Olea europaea subsp. europaea. Its description in RNAcentral is "U2 spliceosomal RNA". It matches the Rfam family "U2 spliceosomal RNA". From Rfam's summary of the family: U2 is a small nuclear RNA (snRNA) component of the spliceosome (involved in pre-mRNA splicing). Complementary binding between U2 snRNA (in an area lying towards the 5' end but 3' to hairpin I) and the branchpoint sequence (BPS) of the intron results the bulging out of an unpaired adenosine, on the BPS, which initiates a nucleophilic attack at the intronic 5' splice site, thus starting the first of two transesterification reactions that mediate splicing. The record is from Rfam by way of RNAcentral. Lineage: Eukaryota; Viridiplantae; Streptophyta; Magnoliopsida; Lamiales; Oleaceae.